GUUCUCAAUUAUUGCUAAAAAAUGCCAAUUUUCUAAUGCCUGUUUCAAUCCCGACUCCCGAAUGUCUAAAAACAUUCUAGAACUUCACAAAAUCUCACUUCCGGCCAUCAUUGCUUUGUGUACAUUCCAUUCAGCGUCAUCAGUCUUGUGGCAGGCAAUACAGGUCAAGCAAAUCAUAUUUUUAGGAAUUUUAAAAUGACAU
RNAcentral lists this long non-coding RNA (202 nucleotides) under Mytilus galloprovincialis (Mediterranean mussel). Lineage: Eukaryota; Metazoa; Mollusca; Bivalvia; Mytilida; Mytilidae. The record is from RNAcentral.